RNAcentral lists this ribosomal RNA (1242 nucleotides) under metagenome. RNAcentral's name for it is "bacterial LSU rRNA". It matches the Rfam family "Bacterial large subunit ribosomal RNA", at positions 1564 to 2816 of the family's 2925-position model. The record is from RNAcentral.
UGAAUACGAGAUGCUACGGCGUCGAAGCAGUCUAUGUCAUACUUCCAAGAAAAGCUUGCACUGUCAUAAACAAAUAAUGCCUGUACCAUAACCGACACAGGUGGGUAGGUAGAGUAUACUAAGGGGCGCGAGAUAACUCUCUCUAAGGAACUCGGCAAAAUGACUCCGUAACUUCGGGAGAAGGAGUGCCUUAUUUAUAAGGUUGCAAUAACAAGAUCCAAGCAACUGUUUACCAAAAACACAGGUCUCCGCUAAGUCGUAAGACGAUGUAUGGGGGCUGACGCCUGCCCAGUGCCAGAAGGUUAAAGAAGUUGGUUAGCAUCCGCGAAGCUGAUAACUGAAGCCCUGGUGAACGGCGGCCGUAACGAUAACGGUCCUAAGGUAGCGAAAUUCCUUGUCGGGUAAGUUCCGACCCGCACGAAAGGCGUAAUGAUUUGGAUACUGUCUCGGAGAGGGGCUCGGUGAAAUAGACUUGUCUGUGAAGAUGCGGACUACCUGCACCAGGACAGAAAGACCCUAUGAAGCUUUACUGUAACCUGAAAUUGAAAUUGGACUUUACUUGCGCAGUAUAGGUGGGAGGCGUUGAGAAUAUUCUUGCGGGAUUAUUGGAGCCAUCAGUGAGAUACCACUCUUGUAAUGUUAGAUUUCUAACUUUGUAUCAUUAUCUGGUCAAAGAACAGUUUCAGGCGGGCAGUUUGACUGGGGCGGUCGCCUCCUAAACGGUAACGGAGGCGCACAAAGGUUUCCUCUGAACGGGUAGAAAUCGUAUCUAGAGUGUAAAGGCAUAAGGAAGCUUGACUGUGAGACCUACAAGUCGAGCAGGGACGAAAGUCGGUCUUAGUGAUCUGACGGUGCUGAGUGGAAAGGCCGUCACUCAACGGAUAAAAGUUACUCUAGGAUAACAGGCUGAUCUCCCCCAAGAGUUCACAUCGACGGGGAGGUUUGGCACCUCGAUGUCGGCUCAUCGCAUCCUGGGGCGGUAGUACGUCCCAAGGGUUGGGCUGUUCGCCCAUGAAAGCGGUACGCGAGCUGGGUUCAGAACGUCGUGAGACAGUUCGGUCCAUAUCCGGUGUAGGCGUUAGAAUAUUGAGAGGAGCCUUCUUUAGUACGAGAGGACCGAGAAGGACAUACCUCUGGUGUACCAGUUAUCGUGCCAACGGUAAACGCUGGGUAGCUAUGUGUGGAGUGGAUAACCGCUGAAAGCAUCUAAGUGGGAAGCCCACCUCAAGAUAAGUAUUCUCA